GAGGGUAUAGCUCAGUGGUAGAAUGGGUGCCUAGCAUGCACAAGGUCCUGGGUUCAAUCCCCAGUACCUCCA
RNAcentral lists this transfer RNA (72 nucleotides) under Camelus bactrianus (Bactrian camel). It matches the Rfam family "tRNA". Rfam says of the family: Transfer RNA (tRNA) molecules are approximately 80 nucleotides in length. Their secondary structure includes four short double-helical elements and three loops (D, anti-codon, and T loops). RNAcentral also lists the same sequence under 3 other names. Lineage: Eukaryota; Metazoa; Chordata; Mammalia; Artiodactyla; Camelidae. The record is from Rfam by way of RNAcentral.